This 522-nucleotide ribosomal RNA is filed under the name uncultured Glomus. Its description in RNAcentral is "SSU rRNA". It matches the Rfam family "Eukaryotic small subunit ribosomal RNA", at positions 569 to 1092 of the family's 1831-position model. The record is from RNAcentral. Lineage: Eukaryota; Fungi; Glomeromycota; Glomeromycetes; Glomerales; Glomeraceae.
AGCAGCCGCGGUAAUUCCAGCUCCAAUAGCGUAUAUUAAAGUUGUUGCAGUUAAAAAGCUCGUAGUUGAAUUUCGGGAUUAGUAGGUUGGUCGUGCCUCAGGUAUGUACUGAUCUCACUGAUUCCUCCUUCCUGAUGAACCGUAAUGCCAUUAAUUUGGUGUUGCGGGGAAACUGGACUGUUACUUUGAAAAAAUUAGAGUGUUUAAAGCAGGCUAACGCUUGAAUACAUUAGCAUGGAAUAAUGAAAUAGGACGUUCGAUCCUAUUUUGUUGGUUUCUAGGAUUGACGUAAUGAUUAAUAGGGAUAGUUGGGGGCAUUAGUAUUCAAUUGUCAGAGGUGAAAUUCUUGGAUUUAUUGAAGACUAACUACUGCGAAAGCAUUUGCCAAGGAUGUUUUCAUUAAUCAAGAACGAAAGUUAGGGGAUCGAAGACGAUCAGAUACCGUCGUAGUCUUAACCAUAAACUAUGCCGACUAGGGAUCGGAUGAUGUUAAUUUUUUAAUGACUCAUUCGGCGCCUUACG